RNAcentral lists this long non-coding RNA (274 nucleotides) under Citrus sinensis (sweet orange). Its description in RNAcentral is "long non-coding RNA (CSIN_LNC000775)". Lineage: Eukaryota; Viridiplantae; Streptophyta; Magnoliopsida; Sapindales; Rutaceae. The record is from RNAcentral.
UUUGACGGCAUUUUGGUAAUAAUUUGAAGUUUAGCGGGUGUUUAGUUUUGUUCAUGAUUGGGUGGGGUUUAGUAAAUAAGGGUUUAAGAGAAGGGGCAUUUGCAAUUCCUGGUGUUUCGGGGUUUUGUGAAAAUUGUGUGUGGAUUAGGAAGAUCAGGAACACAGAGGAGAGAGGCAGAGAGUGAUAAUUUGUAGGUGGUGGAGGGAGAUUUCGGUUUAUGUAAGCUGGGUAUUUAUGGGGAAAUGGAUUUUCCCGCAAAUGACGACAUUGGUC